Molecule: small nuclear RNA, 194 nt
Organism: Solanum verrucosum
Lineage: Eukaryota; Viridiplantae; Streptophyta; Magnoliopsida; Solanales; Solanaceae
Product: U2 spliceosomal RNA
Exons: 1
Source: RefSeq, a predicted model, not a curated record
AUACCUUUCUUGGCCUUUUGUCUAAGAUUAAGUGUAGUAUAUGUUCUUAUCAGUAUAAUAUUUGAUAUGUGGUCCAUCGGUUCACGUGAUACUAACUUAUUAUUUAAGGGGGAGAGUCCAUCCAGAUAGCUUCCUAUAUGGGCCUUUGCAUCUCUCCUAGGUGUUGCAUACAACCCAAGCCUAGCGUACCCCAC